UGGAUGCUCAGAACUUAAAGCUAUGUAGCAUUCAUUAUUCCUAUAUAUGACAGAAAUUCUCACUUAUGUCAUAGUGAUUUCUUCCUAUACGUAUCUAUUUUGGCCUCCUUUUCCUUGAUUUCACUUCCUCUUUCUUUCUCAAAUGCUAAGGAAUUCCUAAGGACAGUUCAAGGAACAAGAACAUUUCGUUAUCAUCCAAAUAACACUAUAGAUGGAUCCUUCAGUGGUGAAUGGGAAUAAAAUCCAGCACACGGCAACAUCAAAUGAUUAUACCUUCACUGGCAGAUACAAUUUGUUUGUCCUGCCAAUUACUUUAGAACCAAUGAACCAGACAUCAGAACCUAUACAAUAAGAGGAGGAGGUGAGGGAAGUGUUUAGUCAAAUAGGGGAGGGGAUGAGUGAGUGGUUGGAAAGGGCAAUAGAAGAGGAGGAGGUGAGGGAAGCAGUGGUGAGUUAGUGCAAGAUAUAAUGCUCUGGGACCUUAUGGAUUCACGUUAGCUUUUUCCCAACAAUGUUGGAGGAUAGUUAAGGGUGAAUGAUGGAGACCAUUGCGGAUUUCCAAGAUUCUGGAGAGUUCAAGAGAAGCCUUAACGCUUCAUUCAUCACCAUUGUGCCAAAGAAGAAACUUGGAAGAAAUAUCAAGGAUUAUAGACCUAUUAGUCUGGUAGGAAGCAUCUAUAAGAUCAUUUCUAAGGUGCUUUCAAACAGACUAAAAAAGGUAUUGGAUGAGACAGUGUCCACUUCUCAUUCGUGGAAGGUAGACAGAUCCUAGAUGCAUCACUGGUGGCAAAUGAAGUGGUUGAUUCUAGAAAGAAGAAAGGACAGCCGGGAAUUCUUUGUAAGUUGGACCUUGAGAAAGCUUAUGAUUGUAUGAACUGGGACUCCUCGGAUUUUAUUAUGUCGAAGAUGGGGUUUGGGGACAAAUGAAGGAGAUGGAUUAAGUUUUCCAUUUCUACUGCUACAUAAUCUGUUUUGGUGAAUGGGAGUCCAUGUGGUUCCUUUGGGAGUUCGAGGGGCUUGAGACAAGGGGAUCCUUUAUCCCCUAUGUUAUUCAUUUUGGUGAUGGAAGCAUUAAGCAAGAUGAUGCAUAGGGCGGUCAUUGCAGGUCUAUUGAAGGGCUUUGAUGCUUCGCUUAGGGGGCAUAGUAAUGUGACAGUUACACAUCUUAUUUUUGCAGAUGAUACUUUUGUUUUUUCCGAUGCAGAGGUGUCCCAGCUAGCUCACUUGGGGACAGAUCCUUGUAUGGUUCCAGGUUGUGUCAGGUCUUAAGAUCAAUCUCAAAAAAUGCGAGAUCACAUCGGUAGGAGAAGUGGAUAAUAUUGAAGAGAUUGCGCAUGUGUUGAAUUAUAAGGUGGGUACUUUACCUACCACCUACUAGGGGGUACCGUUGGGUGCUUUGAGUAAAGAUCUUGCAGUGUGGAAUCCGGUUAUUGAGAGGGUAGAGAAGUGACUAGCAGGAUGGCGAAAGAGGUACUUGCCGAGAAGAGGGAAGGAAGUUUUGAUCAAAAGCACCCUUUCUAGCACACCUACGUAUUUCAUGUCACUUUUGCAGGCUCCUGGUAAAAUGACUGAAAGGUUGGAAAGGAUUCAGCACAACUUUUUAUGGGACAAAUCGGAAGAAGCAAGAAAGUACCAUUUAGUGAAUUGGAAAGUUGUCACUUCUCCAAAGGAAUGGGGAGGACUCGAAGUGAAAGAUCUCAAGGUUUUCAAUAAAGCUUUUCUAGGGAAAUAGAAUUGGAGAUUUGGGAUGGAGGAGAAUGCAUUUUGGACGGGGGUGAUAGCGGAAAAAUAUGAUAUAAUGGAAGGGGGUUAGGAGGACCAAAUAUAACACCACUAUUUGGUGUGGUUUAUGGCGAAGUAUUAUGAAAGGGUUUGAAGACUUCAUGGGACACGUUUCUUUUAGGGUUGGGGAUGGAAGCAGGAUUAGUUUUUGGGCGCUUUAGUAGUGCGGUAAGAAUGAAUUGAGGGAAGCUUUUCCUAAUUUAUAUAGAAUAUCUUGCCAAAAAGAGAUGACAGUUCAACAAAUUUAUAGGUCUCAUGAAGGGGUAGUUCAUUGGGAUUUGAGAUUUAGGAGAUGGAAGAAUUCCACAAUUUGGUGGAGAUAUUGUUUGAGUUGGAUAUACCGAACAUUAUGUUGAAUGGAGAUGGUGAGAGAGUAGAGAUGAAUUAUUCACUGUUAAGUCUUUUUAUAAGAGGUUAUUAGGGAGAGAAGAACAUAUUUUCCCUCAUUGCUCUAUUUGGAGCACCAAGAAAGGUGUGUUUCUUUGCAUGGUUGGCGGCAAGGGGAGUGAUUUUGACAGCGAAAAAUUUGCGAAAAAGGAGGAUCACCUAUGUUAGCUGGUGCUUCAUGUGCAAAAGCUUGGGCGAAGAUGUAGAUCAUCUUCUAUUGCAUUAUCAAGUGGCAAGUCAUUUAAGGAGAGUGGUUCUUAUUUUGUUUGGGAAAAAAUAGGUGAUGCCAGGCAUAGUGAGGAGGCUUUGCAUAGUUAGUGUUACGCGACGCCUUCCUGAUGAUCUUUGGAAGGGCAACGUAAGGCUAAGCAACCGAUGUCAGUGCGGUUGCUGUCCGCCAAUGAGGUCCUCGCCGCACGCUAGACUAGAUUGUCAGUGCCGUGCGGGAAAACCAAUGUCGUGAGCAAUUGCGGAAGCUGAGAGAGAAUUGGGUUUUGAAUGCUGAUGAUGAUUUUAUUGAUGACUGAAAAUGAUGAUUACAAUGAUGUGGUGUCGAGGGGGAGAGACACCAGAAAAUGCUGAUUGAAAUGUUUGAUUGUUUGGUCCCCCUUAAUAAUGCUUAAAAAAAAUAAACCAACAUUACAAGACUAGUCCUAAUAAAGCUGUAGAAGCACACUGAAAUGAAAAUGAUGUAAACUAGCCUACGAUUACAAUGAAAAGGACUUAGAUUAUUACAAGGAAAAACUAAGUCCGAUGGCAGCAUCUUUGUCUUGCGGGUCAGGGUCUGCGCGCGCGUUGCUGUGGGCGCGCGCGACACUUGAUGUGCUGGCCUGAGGCUGGGCACUGGUGCUUGGCAUCAGGGUCUGUGCGCGAGGCGCUGUUGGAAUGGGCCUGCACGCUGGCGAGGCAUCAGGAUCUGCGCGCGCGGCAUUGUCAGGGUGCGCGGCGCUGUUGUCAUUGGCCAGCCCUUGG
RNAcentral lists this long non-coding RNA (3141 nucleotides) under Nicotiana tabacum (common tobacco). RNAcentral's name for it is "long non-coding RNA (NTAB_LNC003490)". Lineage: Eukaryota; Viridiplantae; Streptophyta; Magnoliopsida; Solanales; Solanaceae. The record is from RNAcentral.